RNAcentral lists this long non-coding RNA (780 nucleotides) under Rattus norvegicus (Norway rat). RNAcentral describes it as "long non-coding RNA NONRATT017083". Lineage: Eukaryota; Metazoa; Chordata; Mammalia; Rodentia; Muridae. The record is from RNAcentral.
CCAAAACGUUCUGCGUGGGGCACUCAGCCUAACACCUCUUCUUUGGAAUGAAUCUCCCCCCUGGCCCAUCCGCUCAUUGGUCUCCCUUCCUGUUUCCCUGAGGACUUUGUACUAACCUCUGGCAUAGCCCAACUAUUCUUAUGAAAGAAUAGAAACUUUCAUAUCAUAUCAUGUCAUACCCUAUCCUAUCCUAUCCUAUCCUAUGAGCUCUCCUCUAAGCAUGUUAACCGUUAACGUCUUAGGCAGGCUACUCCACUGGCCCAAUCUUACCAAGAAUGGCCCCUUCCUGUGACUGACUCUCUCCUACCAGGGUCCCCCGCCACCCGGCUUCCCUGGCCCAUUCUGUGUUCGCCAGUGGUCGGGGUGCUCCUCCUGGCCCUUGGGGCUCUUCUCGUCCUCCAGCUCAUCCGGCGCCGGCGGCGGGAACACGGGGCCCUGUGGCUGCCCCCUGGUUUCAUUCGAAGGCCACAGACACAGCAGGCACCCCACCGGCGGAGGCCCCCACUGGGCGAGGACAACAUUGGUCUCAAGGCGCUGAAGCCAGAGGCAGAAGUGGAUGAGGACGGAGUGGUCAUGUGCUCGGGCCCUGAAGAGGGCGAGAUGGGGUGACACCCCUGAUGUCUGCCGUCUUCUGUGGGGGAGUGCAGUCCACCACUGUACAGAGACUGGGACUAGGAAAUCCCGAACCCUGGGAACCACUGCUGGAUAGAGGGGCCUGCCCCCAGGCUCACACUGUGGGCACUGGAGAGACGCCCCUGCACCUAGCUGCCCGAUUCUCUC